Molecule: ribosomal RNA, 253 nt
Filed under: uncultured bacterium
Lineage: Bacteria
Description: partial 16S ribosomal RNA
Rfam family: Bacterial small subunit ribosomal RNA
Source: RNAcentral
GACAGAGGGUGCAAACGUUGUUCGGAAUUACUGGGCAUAAAGCGCACGUAGGUGGUCCGCUAAGUCACGUGUGAAAUCCCCCGGCUCAACCGGGGAAAUGCGCGUGAUACUGGCGGGCUUGAGAUCGGGAGGGGUGAAUGGAACUCCAGGUGGAGCGGUGAAAUGCGUAGAUAUCUGGAGGAACACCGGUGGCGAAAGCGGUUCACUGGCCCGACACUGACACUGAGGUGCGAAAGCUAGGGUAGCAAACGGG